RNAcentral lists this unclassified non-coding RNA (261 nucleotides) under Hevea brasiliensis (rubber tree). Lineage: Eukaryota; Viridiplantae; Streptophyta; Magnoliopsida; Malpighiales; Euphorbiaceae. The record is from RNAcentral.
CUCCCUGAUUAUGAUUUUGAGUUUGGCAACGAGGAAUUUGCUUAUUUGGAUGAUCUUCAUCAUCAUCAACAGCAUCCACUACCCUUCAAUAUUGCAUGCCCAUAAGUUUUGCAGCUAGGGUUUUUAUUCGUGUUAUUAGUAGUUUAUAUUAAGUUAUAUUACAGCAAGAAACACGUCUUAGGAACAAAAGAUGGGUUCUCUAGAUUGUUCUUGUGAGUGAGUUUUAAUUUAUUUGUUUGUUGAAAGAUGGAGGUAGGGAUG